This is a long non-coding RNA of Crotalus tigris (Tiger rattlesnake), 323 nucleotides long. RefSeq lists it as uncharacterized. The record is from RefSeq and is a predicted model, not a curated record. The transcript has 3 exons. NCBI's taxonomy places the organism in Eukaryota, Metazoa, Chordata, Lepidosauria, Squamata, Viperidae.
CUUUUCCUUGCAUUCCUGUCUGAACCAGGGAAUGCCCAGCGCAUGUGUCGUCAUGCAGGAGGACGCUGCCGGUACAAGUGUCGUCCUGGCACUGGCCUUGGAAAGAUCAACUGUCCAUUCGAAACGUGGUGCUGUAAAAAGUGACCUGGAAAAUAAUGCCAUCUCCAUCUACGACCAUGGAUAUCUUCAAGAUAUGGCCAAUGACCUGAGAUUAUCGCCUUCUAUUGCUUUAUCUUUCUUUAUAUAAAUCAAAUUGCUACCCAUCAAACUCUAAAACAUUUGUGCAUUGAAAUAAAAUUUGGCAAAUAUUUCUUGAAAUAAAG